This 460-nucleotide ribosomal RNA is filed under the name uncultured bacterium. RNAcentral describes it as "partial 16S ribosomal RNA". It matches the Rfam family "Bacterial small subunit ribosomal RNA", at positions 338 to 795 of the family's 1533-position model. The record is from RNAcentral.
CCUACGGGAGUCAGCAGUGAGGAAUAUUGGUCAAUGGACGAGAGUCUGAACCAGCCAAGUAGCGUGAAGGAUGACUGCCCUAUGGGUUGUAAACUUCUUUUAUAAAGGAAUAAAACGAGGCACGUGUGCCUUUUUGCAUGUACUUUAUGAAUAAGGAUCGGCUAACUCCGUGCCGGCAGCCGCGGUAAUACGGAGGAUCCGAGCGUUAUCCGGAUUUAUUGGGUUUAAAGGGAGCGUAGAUGGGUUGUUAAGUCAGUUGUGAAAGUUUGCGGCUCAACCGUAAAAUUGCAAUUGAUACUGGUAGUCUUGAGUACAGUUGAGGUAGGCGGAAUUCGUGGUGUAGCGGUGAAAUGCUUAGAUAUCACGAAGAACCCCGAUUGCGAAGGCAGCUUACUAAACUGUGACUGACAUUGAUGCUCGAAAGUGUGGGUAUCAAACAGGAUUAGAUACCCUGGUAGUC